GGGGACCUACGGGAGGCAGCAGUGAGGGAUAUUGGUCAAUGGGGGGAACCCUGAACCAGCAACGCCGCGUGAGGGAAGACGGUUUUCGGAUUGUAAACCUCUGUCCUCUGUGAAGAUAAUGACGGUAGCAGAGGAGGAAGCUCCGGCUAACUACGUGCCAGCAGCCGCGGUAAUACGUAGGGAGCGAGCGUUGUCCGGAUUUACUGGGUGUAAAGGGUGCGUAGGCGGCCCUGCAAGUCAGAAGUGAAAUCCAUGGGCUUAACCCGUGAACGGCUUUUGAAACUGAGGGAUUUGGGGGGAGAAGG
Molecule: ribosomal RNA, 305 nt
Filed under: uncultured bacterium
Lineage: Bacteria
Description: bacterial SSU rRNA
Rfam family: Bacterial small subunit ribosomal RNA
Source: RNAcentral